This 467-nucleotide ribosomal RNA is filed under the name uncultured bacterium. RNAcentral's name for it is "partial 16S ribosomal RNA". It matches the Rfam family "Bacterial small subunit ribosomal RNA", at positions 28 to 507 of the family's 1533-position model. The record is from RNAcentral.
GACGAACGCUGGCGGCGUGCUUAACACAUGCAAGUCGAACGGUGAAGCUCCAGCUUGCUGGAGUGGAUCAGUGGCGAACGGGUGAGUAACACGUGAGCAACCUGCCCCUGACUCUGGAAUAAGCGCUGGAAACGGCGUCUAAUACUGGAUACGAGAAGGGCCCGCAUGGGCACUUUCUGGAAAGUUUUUCGGUUGGGAUGGGCUCGCGGCCUAUCAGCUUGUUGGUGAGGUAAUGGCUCACCAAGGCGACGACGGGUAGCCGGCCUGAGAGGGCGACCGGCCACACUGGGACUGAGACACGGCCCAGACUCCUACGGGAGGCAGCAGUGGGGAAUAUUGCACAAUGGGCGAAAGCCUGAUGCAGCGACGCCGCGUGAGGGAUGACGGCCUUCGGGUUGUAAACCUCUUUCAGCAGGGAAGAAGCGAAAGUGACGGUACCUGCAGAAGAAGCACCGGCUAACUACGUG